GAUUUGAUCUAUUUCUAGUGGCGGACGGGUGAGUAACGCGUGGGUAACCUGCCUUAUACAGGGGGAUAACAGUCAGAAAUGGCUGCUAAUACCGCAUAAGCGCACAGAGCUGCAUGGCUCAGUGUGAAAAACUCCGGUGGUAUAAGAUGGACCCGCGUUGGAUUAGCUGGUUGGUGGGGUAACGGCCCACCAAGGCAACGAUCCAUAGCCGGCCUGAGAGGGUGAACGGCCACAUUGGGACUGAGACACGGCCCAGACUCCUACGGGAGGCAGCAGUGGGGAAUAUUGCACAAUGGGGGAAACCCUGAUGCAGCGACGCCGCGUGAAGGAAGAAGUAUCUCGGUAUGUAAACUUCUAUCAGCAGGGAAGAUAGUGACGGUACCUGACUAAGAAGCCCCGGCUAACUACGUGCCAGCAGCCGCGGUAAUACGUAGGGGGCAAGCGUUAUCCGGAUUUACUGGGUGUAAAGGGAGCGUAGACGGUGUGGCAAGUCUGAUGUGAAAGGCAUGGGCUCAACCUGUGGACUGCAUUGGAAACUGUCUGGCUCGAGUGCCGGAGAGGUAAGCGGAAUUCCUAGUGUAGCGGUGAAAUGCGUAGAUAUUAGGAAGAACACCAGUGGCGAAGG
Molecule: ribosomal RNA, 625 nt
Filed under: uncultured Lachnospiraceae bacterium
Lineage: Bacteria; Bacillati; Bacillota; Clostridia; Lachnospirales; Lachnospiraceae
Description: bacterial SSU rRNA
Rfam family: Bacterial small subunit ribosomal RNA
Source: RNAcentral